Molecule: ribosomal RNA, 468 nt
Filed under: uncultured bacterium
Lineage: Bacteria
Description: partial 16S ribosomal RNA
Rfam family: Bacterial small subunit ribosomal RNA
Source: RNAcentral
GACGAACGCUGGCGGCGUGCUUAACACAUGCAAGUCGAACGGUAAGGCCCUGGCUUGCUGGGGUGCACGAGUGGCGAACGGGUGAGUAACACGUGAGUAACCUGCCCUUGACUUGGGGAUAACUAUAGGAAACUGGGGCUAAUACCGGAUAGGAGCUCCUGCUGCAUGGCGGGUGCUGGAAAGUUUCGGUGGUUGGGGUAGGACUCGCGGCUGAGCAGUUUGUUGGUGGGGUUGUGGCAUACGAAGGCCUUGACGGGUAGCCGGACUGGGAGGGUGACCGGCCACAUUGGGACUGAGAAACGGGCCAGACUCCUACGGGGGGCAGCAGUGGGGAAUAGUGCACGAUGGGCGGAAGCCUUAUGCAGCGACGCCGCGUGGGAGAGGACUGCCGUCGGGUUGUAAACCGCUUUCGCCUGUGACGAAGCGUGUGUGACGGUAGUUGGUAAAGAAGCACCGGCUAACUACGUG